ACGGCUCAGUAACACGUAGUCAACCUAACCUAUGGACGGGAAUAACCUCGGGAAACUGAGAAUAAUGCCCGAUAGAACACUAUACCUGGAAUGGUUUGUGUUCCAAAUGAUUUAUCGCCAUGGGAUGGGACUGCGGCCUAUCAGUUUGUUGGUGAGGUAAUGGCCCACCAAGACUAUUACAGGUACGGGCUCUGAGAGGAGUAGCCCGGAGAUGGGUACUGAGACACGGACCCAGGCCCUAUGGGGCGCAGCAGGCGAGAAAACUUUGCAAUGUGCGAAAGCACGACAAGGUUAAUCCGAGUGAUUUGUGCUAAACGAAUCUUUUGUUAGUCCUAGAAACACUAACGAAUAAGGGGUGGGCAAGUUCUGGUGUCAGCCGCCGCGGUAAAACCAGCACCUCAAGUGGUCAGGAUGAUUAUUGGGCCUAAAGCAUCCGUAGCCGGCUCUGUAAGUUUUCGGUUAAAUCUGUACGCUUAACGUACAGGCUGCCGGGAAUACUGCAAAGCUAGGGAGUGGGAGAGGUAGACGGUACUCGGUAGGAAGUGGUAAAAUGCUUUGAUCUAUCGAUGACCACCUGUGGCGAAGGCGGUCUACCAGAACACGUCCGACGGUGAGGGAUGAAAGCUGGGGGAGCAAACCGGAUUAGAUACCCGGGUAGUCCCAGCUGUAAGCUAUGCAAACUCAGUGAUGCAUUGGCUUGUGGCCAAUGCAGUGCUGCAGGGAAGCCGUUAAGUUUGCCGCCUGGGAAGUACGUACGCAAGUAUGAAACUUAAAGGAAUUGGCGGGGGAGCAC
This 793-nucleotide ribosomal RNA is filed under the name uncultured archaeon. RNAcentral describes it as "bacterial SSU rRNA". It matches the Rfam family "Archaeal small subunit ribosomal RNA", at positions 85 to 879 of the family's 1478-position model. The record is from RNAcentral.